Molecule: unclassified non-coding RNA, 238 nt
Filed under: Hevea brasiliensis (rubber tree)
Lineage: Eukaryota; Viridiplantae; Streptophyta; Magnoliopsida; Malpighiales; Euphorbiaceae
Source: RNAcentral
GUAUGCUAAAGCAGUGUAUCAUACUCGAAUCUCUGUUGGUAUGAGGUUCCGGAUGCUGUUUGAAACAGAAGAAUCAAGUGUUCGUAGGUAUAUGGGCACAAUUACUGGCAUCAGUAAUCUAGAUCCUGUUUGUUGGCCAAAUUCAUACUGGCGGUCUGUGAAGGUUGGAUGGGAUGAAUCUACUGCUGGAGAAAGGCAGCCCAGAGUUUCUCUAUGGGAAAUUGAACCUCUGACAACA